UAGGGAAUAUUGGGCAAUGCCCGCAAGGGUGACCCAGCAACGCCGCGUGGAGGAAGAAGGUCGUAAGAUCGUAAACUCCUGUUAGAAGGAACGAAUAGCUUGUUUUCGUGAGAGAAUGAGUCUGACGGUACCUUCAGAGAAAGCCCCGGCUAACUACGUGCCAGCAGCCGCGGUAAUACGUAGGGGGCAAGCGUUGUCCGGAUUUACUGGGUGUAAAGGGCGCGUAGGCGGAUUUAUAAGUCAGAGGUGAAAUCCCACAGCUUAACUGUGGAACUGCCUUUGAAACUAUGAAUCUUGAAUAUAGAAGAGAGAAGCGGAAUUCCAGGUGUAGUGGUAAAAUGCGUAGAUAUCUGGAAGAACACCAGUCGCGAAGGCGGCUUCUUGGUCUAUUAUUGACGCUGAGGCGCGAAAGCGUGGGGAGCAAACAGG
Molecule: ribosomal RNA, 429 nt
Filed under: uncultured bacterium
Lineage: Bacteria
Description: bacterial SSU rRNA
Rfam family: Bacterial small subunit ribosomal RNA
Source: RNAcentral